RNAcentral lists this ribosomal RNA (360 nucleotides) under uncultured bacterium. RNAcentral's name for it is "bacterial SSU rRNA". It matches the Rfam family "Bacterial small subunit ribosomal RNA", at positions 445 to 793 of the family's 1533-position model. The record is from RNAcentral.
AGGAAGGUGGGUAUUGUUAAUAGCAUACUCAUUUGACGUUAGCUGCAGAAGAAGCACCGGCUAACUCCGUGCCAGCAGCCGCGGUAAUACGGAGGGUGCGAGCGUUAAUCGGAAUUACUGGGCGUAAAGCGCAUGCAGGUGGUUUUGUUAAGUCAGAUGUGAAAGCCCGGGGCUCAACCUCGGAAUUGCAUUUGAAAACUGGCAAACUAGAGUACUGUAGAGGGGGGUAGAAUUUCAGGUGUAGCGGUGAAAAUGCGUAGAGAUCUGAAGGAAUACCGGUGGCGAAGGCGGCCCCCUGGACAGAUACUGACACUCAGAUGCGAAAGCGUGGGGAGCAAACAGGAUUGGAUACCCUGGUAG